AACGAACGCUGGCGGCAGGCUUAACACAUGCAAGUCGAGCGCCCCGCAAGGGGAGCGGCAGACGGGUGAGUAACGCGUGGGAAUCUACCCAUCCCUACGGAAUAGCUCCGGGAAACUGGAAUUAAUACCGUAUACGCCCUACGGGGGAAAGAUUUAUCGGGGAUGGAUGAGCCCGCGUUGGAUUAGCUAGUUGGUGGGGUAAAGGCCUACCAAGGCGACGAUCCAUAGCUGGUCUGAGAGGAUGAUCAGCCACAUUGGGACUGAGACACGGCCCAAACUCCUACGGGAGGCAGCAGUGUGGAAGAUUGGACAAUGGGGGCAACCCUGAUCCAGCCAUGCCGCGUGAGUGAUGAAGGCCUUAGGGUUGUAAAGCUCUUUCACCGGGGAAGAUAAUGACGGUACCCGGAGAAGAAGCCCCGGCUAACUUCGUGCCAGCCGCCGCCGUUAA
RNAcentral lists this ribosomal RNA (448 nucleotides) under uncultured bacterium. Its description in RNAcentral is "partial 16S ribosomal RNA". It matches the Rfam family "Bacterial small subunit ribosomal RNA", at positions 29 to 524 of the family's 1533-position model. The record is from RNAcentral.